CAUAAAAGUAGAAAUCAAAGGUGGUGGAUGCUACCAGACAAACGAGAGAGAUUUCAUUUGGGAGUUUUUACCACUUUAUUUUUGAAGUACAAAUACACGAAUCAUGAAGAAUUUUUUAAAAUGACGAGACUUACAGUANAACAUUUUGAAGAACUGCUCAAUUUGAUUAGCCCUGCAUUGAUAAACAAUAGUGUACAAGAAGUUUUGGAUCCUGAAUUCCGUCUAGCAUUUACGUUAUGCAUCAGGAGACAGUUUUGGCCAGAUACUGGCGUAUAGGCAGGUCAACAUNCUAUAAAGUGAUUAUAGAAACAUGUAAUGCUAUUUGGCAAUAUCUUCAACCAAUAUAUUUAAAGUGUCCUUCUCAAGAGGAGUGAAAAAAUAUUGAAAAGGGCUUUUGUGAUAGAUGGAAUUUCCCUAAUUGUGUCGGAGCGUUGGAUGGAAAGCACAUUCGUGUGCAAUGUCCACCCAACUCUGGUUUAGCGUAUUACAAUUACAAAGGAUAUUACAGUAUAGUAAUGCUAGCUACAUGUGAUGCAAAUUAUGCAUUUACUUAUGUAGAUAUUGGAGAUUAUGGAUCAUUAUCGGACACAAGUGUNCUCAGUGCAUCGACAUUUGGUCAUGCCUUGGAACGUGAUAAAUUAGAUCUGCCGCCACCAAAAAUAUUGCCAGUUAACAUUAUUAGCCCAUUAUUACUUUAUGGGUGAUAAAAUUUUUCUUUUACGAUUGAAUCUCUUGCGACCACAUGCAAGAAAGAACUUGAUUGGAAUUGCACAAAAAGUUUUCAAUUAUAGACUUUCAAGAGCACGACGUGUUAUUGAAAACGCUUUUGGAAUUCUCGUAACUGGGUGAGAUCAUUAGAUUUGUUUCUUAUAACUGAACUUUAUGCAUUAAAAAUNAAACAGAUUAAUAUUUAAAUGUUCAAAAGAAAAAGAAGAAAAGAGAAGAAAAGUGAAUUAGUAUAGAAAACUCAGUUAUAAAGAACAAAAAUCAUAGUUUGUAAUAAGCUACUUUGAUUUCUAUCAAGAAAUAAUUCUAUUGAUUAAAAAUCAAUGCAUAUAGUGAUAGAUAUUUUUGAUAUUACGUGGAGAGUGCUGAGAACUACAUUAGCUUUGCAUCCAGACAGUGUAGAGACUAUAAUAUUUGCUACAGUCUGUUUACACAAUUUCAUCAUGAAAAAAAGAAGAACACAUUAUUGGAUUUUAACCAUACUGUCCACCUGGUUAUGUAGACUAUUAUGACAACAGUGGAAAUGUCAUUCCUGGUUUAUGGCGAGACGAAAAUAUUCCUGGAUAUGUAACACGACUCAAUCGAGUGGGAUCUGAUCGUGCUGCCACAAUUGCAAUAAAGCGGCAAGAUACAAUAGCUGCAUAUUUUAUUUCAAAUCAAGGACAAAUUCCUUGACAAUGAAAAGUUAUAAAAAGGGGUCGCAUACAAAAUGUUUUUUAAUUGGGUAAACAGUGCAA
Long non-coding RNA from Pseudomyrmex gracilis, 1463 nucleotides. RefSeq lists it as uncharacterized. NCBI's taxonomy places the organism in Eukaryota, Metazoa, Arthropoda, Insecta, Hymenoptera, Formicidae. The transcript is spliced from 3 exons. The record is from RefSeq and is a predicted model, not a curated record.